GCGCCUGGCAUAGCAGCAUAUGCACUAAAAUUGGAACAGUAGACAUUAGCAUGGCCCCUGAGCGUGGGUGACAGGCCAAUGUGUGAAACACUCCAUAUUUUU
Small nuclear RNA from Neogale vison (American mink), 102 nucleotides. The record is from Ensembl. NCBI's taxonomy places the organism in Eukaryota, Metazoa, Chordata, Mammalia, Carnivora, Mustelidae.